GACGCACUCUGGCGGCGUGCUUAACACAUGCAAGUCGAACGAUGAAGCCUAGCUUGCUAGGUGGAUUAGUGGCGAACGGGUGAGUAAUACGUGAGUAACCUACCUUUAACUCUGGGAUAAGCCUGGGAAACUGGGUCUAAUACCGGAUACGACCAAUCUCCGCAUGGGGUGUUGGUGGAAAGCGUUAUGUAGUGGUUAUAGAUGGGCUCACGGCCUAUCAGCUUGUUGGUGAGGUAACGGCUCACCAAGGCGACGACGGGUAGCCGGCCUGAGAGGGUGACCGGCCACACUGGGACUGAGACACGGCCCAGACUCCUACGGGAGGCAGCAGUGGGGAAUAUUGCACAAUGGGCGCAAGCCUGAUGCAGCGACGCCGCGUGAGGGAUGACGGCCUUCGGGUUGUAAACCUCUGUUAGCAGGGAAGAAGAGAGAUUGACGGUACCUGCAGAGAAAGCGCCGGCUAACUACGUGCCAGCAGCCGCGGUAAUACGUAGGGCGCGAGCGUUGUCCGGAAUUAUUGGGCGUAAAGAGCUUGUAGGCGGUUUGUCGCGUCUGCUGUGAAGGCCGGGGCUUAACUCCGUGUAUUGCAGUGGGUACGGGCAGGCUAGAGUGCAGUAGGGGAGACUGGAAUUCCUGGUGUAGCGGUGGAAUGCGCAGAUAUCAGGAGGAACACCGAUGGCGAAGGCAGGUCUCUGGGCUGUAACUGACGCUGAGAAGCGAAAGCAUGGGGAGCGAACAGGAUUAGAUACCCUGGUAGUCCAUGCCGUAAACGUUGGGCACUAGGUGUGGGGGACAUUCCACGUUUUCCGCGCCGUAGCUAACGCAUUAAGUGCCCCGCCUGGGGAGUACGGCCGCAAGGCUAAAACUCAAAGAAAUUGACGGGGGCCCGCACAAGCGGCGGAGCAUGCGGAUUAAUUCGAUGCAACGCGAAGAACCUUACCAAGGCUUGACAUAUACUGGACCGCAUCAGAGAUGGUGUUUCCCUUCGGGGCUGGUAUACAGGUGGUGCAUGGUUGUCGUCAGCUCGUGUCGUGAGAUGUUGGGUUAAGUCCCGCAACGAGCGCAACCCUCGUUCUAUGUUGCCAGCACGUUAUGGUGGGGACUCAUAGGAGACUGCCGGGGUCAACUCGGAGGAAGGUGGGGAUGACGUCAAAUCAUCAUGCCCCUUAUGUCUUGGGCUUCACGCAUGCUACAAUGGCCGGUACAGAGGGUUGCGAUACUGUGAGGUGGAGCUAAUCCCUAAAAGCCGGUCUCAGUUCGGAUUGGGGUCUGCAACUCGACCCCAUGAAGUCGGAGUCGCUAGUAAUCGCAGAUCAGCAACGCUGCGGUGAAUACGUUCCCGGGCCU
This 1347-nucleotide ribosomal RNA is filed under the name uncultured bacterium. Its description in RNAcentral is "bacterial SSU rRNA". It matches the Rfam family "Bacterial small subunit ribosomal RNA", at positions 28 to 1381 of the family's 1533-position model. The record is from RNAcentral.